This 316-nucleotide unclassified non-coding RNA is filed under the name uncultured fungus. RNAcentral's name for it is "sequence contains ITS1". The record is from RNAcentral. Lineage: Eukaryota; Fungi.
GUAUAUUUAACUUUAUAGGUACAAAAUUAGACCUGAUUCAACAUUCUAGAUGCAUUCAAGAGGUUGUGAAAUGACAUAGAUCCUGGCAAAGGCAAAGCCAACUUCAAAAAAUGAAGCACAGCAGUCCCAACUCGAGAAUGAGACAAAAAAACAUUGAAAAAUUUUUUUUUCCCCCUUCAUAUUUUCCAGGUUCUACAAAUAUGUGCACAGUUGGUCAAAUAAUUAGAACAAGCGUGCACAUUCCCCCAACGGGGGCCAGCAACAGCCUGCUCAUGUUUAUUCAAUGAUGAUCCUUCCGCAGGUUCACCUACGGAAA